This 484-nucleotide ribosomal RNA is filed under the name uncultured bacterium. Its description in RNAcentral is "partial 16S ribosomal RNA". It matches the Rfam family "Bacterial small subunit ribosomal RNA", at positions 30 to 507 of the family's 1533-position model. The record is from RNAcentral.
AUUGAACGCUGGCGGCAUGCCUUACACAUGCAAGUCGAACGGCAGCGCGGGAGCAAUCCUGGCGGCGAGUGGCGAACGGGUGAGUAAUACAUCGGAACGUGCCCAAUCGUGGGGGAUAACGCAGCGAAAGCUGUGCUAAUACCGCAUACGAUCUACGGAUGAAAGCAGGGGAUCGCAAGACCUUGCGCGAAUGGAGCGGCCGAUGGCAGAUUAGGUAGUUGGUGAGGUAAAGGCUCACCAAGCCUUCGAUCUGUAGCUGGUCUGAGAGGACGACCAGCCACACUGGGACUGAGACACGGCCCAGACUCCUACGGGAGGCUGCAGUGGGGAAUUUUGGACAAUGGGCGAAAGCCUGAUCCAGCCAUGCCGCGUGCAGGAUGAAGGCCUUCGGGUUGUAAACUGCUUUUGUACGGAACGAAACGGUCUUUUCUAAUAAAGAAGGCUAAUGACGGUACCGUAAGAAUAAGCACCGGCUAACUACGUG